RNAcentral lists this ribosomal RNA (253 nucleotides) under uncultured prokaryote. RNAcentral's name for it is "partial 16S ribosomal RNA". It matches the Rfam family "Bacterial small subunit ribosomal RNA", at positions 525 to 777 of the family's 1533-position model. The record is from RNAcentral.
ACAGAGGGGGCAAGCGUUAUUCGGAAUUAUUGGGCGUAAAGGGCGCGUAGGCGGUUUUUUAAGUCGGAUGUGCAAUCCCUGGGCUCAACCCAGGAACUGCAUCCGAGACUGGAAGGCUAGAGUACUGGAGAGGGUGGUGGAAUUCCUCGUGUAGCGGUGAAAUGCGUAGAGAUGAGGAGGAACACCAGUGGCGAAGGCGACUUUCUGGUCUGUAACUGACGCUGAGGCGCGAAAGCGUGGGGAGCAAACAGGA